This 91-nucleotide ribosomal RNA is filed under the name Escherichia coli. Its description in RNAcentral is "partial 16S ribosomal RNA". It matches the Rfam family "Bacterial small subunit ribosomal RNA", at positions 1 to 85 of the family's 1533-position model. RNAcentral also lists the same sequence under 1 other name. Lineage: Bacteria; Pseudomonadati; Pseudomonadota; Gammaproteobacteria; Enterobacterales; Enterobacteriaceae. The record is from RNAcentral.
UUAAAUUGAAGAGUUUGAUCAUGGCUCAGAUUGAACGCUGGCGGCAGGCCUAACACAUGCAAGUCGAACGGUAACAGGAAGCAGCUUACUG